UACAGAGGGUGCGAGCGUUAAUCGGAAUUACUGGGCGUAAAGCGCGCGUAGGCGGCAUUGCAAGUCGGGUGUGAAAGCCCCGGGCUCAACCUGGGAAUUGCAUUCGAUACUGGAUGGCUAGAGUUCGGCAGAGGGAAGUGGAAUUUCCGGUGUAGCGGUGAAAUGCGUAGAUAUCGGAAGGAACAUCAGUGGCGAAAGCGACUUCCUGGCCUGUUCUUGACGCUGAGGCGCGAAAGCUAGGGUAGCAAACGGG
This 253-nucleotide ribosomal RNA is filed under the name uncultured bacterium. Its description in RNAcentral is "partial 16S ribosomal RNA". It matches the Rfam family "Bacterial small subunit ribosomal RNA", at positions 524 to 776 of the family's 1533-position model. The record is from RNAcentral.